AGAUCUCUUCUUCUAGAUCUUGAAGAAGGAGAUCGCUGCAUGAACUUUUUUGCACAGAUCCGAUGAGAUCUGAACCAGAUCACCAUGAAGAGAAAAAGAACCCUUCUUCUUCUCUCUCUUUUCUCUUUUUAGUUCUGAUCUCUAUCAAAUCUUAGGCAUGGAGGAUGACGGAAGUAAGGAGAGAAAAUGUUGAAGACCACCCACACGGCA
This 210-nucleotide long non-coding RNA is filed under the name Elaeis guineensis (African oil palm). Its description in RNAcentral is "long non-coding RNA (EGUI_LNC056629)". The record is from RNAcentral. Lineage: Eukaryota; Viridiplantae; Streptophyta; Magnoliopsida; Arecales; Arecaceae.